This 337-nucleotide ribosomal RNA is filed under the name Platyrrhinus incarum. RNAcentral describes it as "Platyrrhinus helleri incarum partial 12S ribosomal RNA". It matches the Rfam family "Bacterial small subunit ribosomal RNA", at positions 536 to 989 of the family's 1533-position model. Lineage: Eukaryota; Metazoa; Chordata; Mammalia; Chiroptera; Phyllostomidae. The record is from RNAcentral.
AACCCUAGUCAAUAGACCCACGGCGUAAAACGUGUUUAAGGAACUUCCCUAUAAAGUCAAACCCUAGCUAUGCUGUAAAAAGCUACAGCUACUGUAAGCUCUAAUACGAAAGUAACUUUAAAAUGCCUGAAUACACGACAGCUAAGACCCAAACUGGGAUUAGAUACCCCACUAUGCUUAGCCCUAAACCUAAAGAGCCCUCCUAACAAGGCUCUUCGCCAGAGUACUACUAGCCAAAGCUUAAAACUCAAGGGACUUGGCGGUGCUUUAUAUCCCUCUAGAGGAGCCUGUUCUAUAAUCGAUAAACCCCGAUAAACCUCACCAACCCUUGCCAACU